This 202-nucleotide long non-coding RNA is filed under the name Elaeis guineensis (African oil palm). Its description in RNAcentral is "long non-coding RNA (EGUI_LNC016886)". Lineage: Eukaryota; Viridiplantae; Streptophyta; Magnoliopsida; Arecales; Arecaceae. The record is from RNAcentral.
GGGCUCAUUGUUUGACCGUGUGAUAGAGUUAUGUUAGUGCAUAUAACUAGAAGAGAUUAUAAUUUGACAGUGUCCACAUAGGUGUGAACUCUGAAACUGAAGGGGAAGGAUAAAAAUUUCGCCUGUGAACUCGGUACUCUAAUGCAGUUUUCUAGGUCGGUAUCAAGGUAGAAUUUUUUAACUACAUUUGCAUUUGACCUCC